RNAcentral lists this ribosomal RNA (253 nucleotides) under uncultured bacterium. RNAcentral's name for it is "partial 16S ribosomal RNA". It matches the Rfam family "Bacterial small subunit ribosomal RNA", at positions 524 to 776 of the family's 1533-position model. The record is from RNAcentral.
UACGGGGGGGGCAAGCGUUGUUCGGAAUUACUGGGCGUAAAGGGCUCGUAGGCGGCCAACUAAGUCAGACGUGAAAUCCCUCGGCUUAACCGGGGAACUGCGUCUGAUACUGGAUGGCUAGAGUUUGGGAGAGGGACGCGGAAUUCCAGGUGUAGCGGUGAAAUGCGUAGAUAUCUGGAGGAACACCGGUGGCGAAGGCGGCGUCCUGGACCAACACUGACACUGAGGAGCGAAAGCCAGGGGAGCAAACGGG